This 91-nucleotide transfer RNA is filed under the name Streptomyces minutiscleroticus. Its description in RNAcentral is "tRNA-Arg". The record is from RNAcentral. Lineage: Bacteria; Bacillati; Actinomycetota; Actinomycetes; Kitasatosporales; Streptomycetaceae.
CCGUCCUGCCCGGGCGGAACAGGUCGGUUCCGCUUCGGCCGGAACCAGUGGGUCACGCCCGGCCGGGACGGCUCGGCCCCGUCCGGGCGGA